AGAUAGGCAGAAGAGGAAUGUUGUGAAAAGUGCUCCUUUGAGGCAGAUCCUAACCUACUGCAGUGAUCUUUCCCUAGAGAAGACUCACAGAACUGGCAAUCAUUGCACCAGGAGAGAUGAAUUGCUUUGCUCUGAAGUACAGAAAUCUACCCAAUGACACGGCACCCCACACACAACAAGGAGAUGUGUACAAAUAUCUAGUUCAUACAAUUUCAAUCAAGGAAUGAGAAGAGAAAACACUUCUGCAUCAAGGUGACUUCACUCAAUUGCAGCUGAAAACGAAUGAGAUCAUGUCAGUAAAUGCCUUUGGGCUCUUCAAAGAAAGUGAAAAACCCACCAGUUCACUGUGAAUCCCAAGCCUGCAGAUAAGGACGGAGAAGCUGGGAGACAUCGGGUAACUUACCAAAGUCCACACAGCUGGAUACCUGCAGCCAUGUUGUGAAUGACUCUAUGGAGAGGACCACAUGGCAUGGAACUGAGGCCCUCUGGCUGAAACCCUGCAAGGAACUGGCUGACACCCUCCAACAAUCACAACCGUGGGCUUUGGAAGGAUACUCCAACCCCCGUCAAGCCUUCAGGAUCCCUUAGGGUGCUGUUUAGGAAACAGACUAAGAGAAAGCAAGGACAAGAGCUGAAAGAGUUCAUCCUCUAUCUUCUGGGAGAGCUUCCAAAAGUCCUCUCUCUUGUCCUUUGAUGUCAUUAUGAGUAGAUGUGAGAUGUGAGGAGAACUACUGCCUCUCCAUACUCAUCUGAGUGUGAAACCGCUCCACACAGGAAACAGAGCCAAGAGAACUACUGAGAAAAGCACACAGAGCUACAAAAUUUGGUCAACUAUAAAGCUUACCUUGCACCUAAAUUUCCAGUUCUGUGAGUCAAUAAACAUCCUUAUUGCUUCAACC
Pan troglodytes (chimpanzee) is the source of this 899-nucleotide long non-coding RNA. RefSeq lists it as uncharacterized. Lineage: Eukaryota; Metazoa; Chordata; Mammalia; Primates; Hominidae. The record is from RefSeq and is a predicted model, not a curated record. The transcript is spliced from 5 exons.